CCUACGGGGUGCACCAGUAGGGAAUCUUCGGCAAUGGACGAAAGUCUGACCGAGCAACGCCGCGUGAGUGAAGAAGGUUUUCGGAUCGUAAAACUCUGUUGGUAGAGAAGAACGUUGGUGAGAGUGGAAAGCUCAUCAAGUGACGGUAACUACCCAGAAAGGGACGGCUAACUACGUGCCAGCAGCCGCGGUAAUACGUAGGUCCCGAGCGUUGUCCGGAUUUAUUGGGCGUAAAGCGAGCGCAGGUGGUUUAUUAAGUCUGGUGUAAAAGGCAGUGGCUCAACCAUUGUAUGCAUUGGAAACUGGUAGACUUGAGUGCAGGAGAGGAGAGUGGAAUUCCAUGUGUAGCGGUGAAAUGCGUAGAUAUCUGGAGGAAUACCGGUGGCGAAGGCGGCAUCCUGGACCAUUACUGACGCUGAUGCGCGAAAGCUAGGGGAGCAAACGGGAUUAGAUACCCCAGUAGUC
This 465-nucleotide ribosomal RNA is filed under the name uncultured bacterium. Its description in RNAcentral is "bacterial SSU rRNA". It matches the Rfam family "Bacterial small subunit ribosomal RNA", at positions 338 to 795 of the family's 1533-position model. The record is from RNAcentral.